This 343-nucleotide ribosomal RNA is filed under the name uncultured bacterium. RNAcentral's name for it is "bacterial SSU rRNA". It matches the Rfam family "Bacterial small subunit ribosomal RNA", at positions 28 to 371 of the family's 1533-position model. The record is from RNAcentral.
GAUGAACGCUAGCGGCAGGCCUAACACAUGCAAGUCGAGGGGUAGAGUUCUUCGGGACUUGAGACCGGCGCACGGGUGCGUAACGCGUAUGCAAUCUACCUUAUACAGGGGAAUAGCCCCAGAGAAAUUUGGAUUAAUGCCCCCAUAGUGUUAUCGAAUCGCAUGGUUUGAUAACUAAAGUUCCAACGGUAUAAGAUGAGCAUGCGUCCCAUUAAGUUAGUUGGUAAGGUAACGGNUUACCAAGACAAUGAUGGGUAGGGGUCCUGAGAGGGAGAUCCCCCACACUGGUACUGAGACACGGACCAGACUCCUACGGGAGGCAGCAGUGAGGAAUAUUGGUCAA